Molecule: transfer RNA, 73 nt
Filed under: Candidatus Thiodiazotropha taylori
Lineage: Bacteria; Pseudomonadati; Pseudomonadota; Gammaproteobacteria; Chromatiales; Sedimenticolaceae
Description: tRNA-Tyr
Rfam family: tRNA
About the family: Transfer RNA (tRNA) molecules are approximately 80 nucleotides in length. Their secondary structure includes four short double-helical elements and three loops (D, anti-codon, and T loops).
Source: RNAcentral
CGCCGAGUAGCUCAGUUGGUAGAGCGCUUGACUGUAAAUCAAGAGGUCGAUGGUUCGAAUCCACCCUUGGCGA